This 369-nucleotide ribosomal RNA is filed under the name uncultured bacterium. Its description in RNAcentral is "bacterial SSU rRNA". It matches the Rfam family "Bacterial small subunit ribosomal RNA", at positions 770 to 1134 of the family's 1533-position model. The record is from RNAcentral.
ACUCAAUAGAUACCCUGGUAGUCCUGGCAGUAAACGGUGCACGUUUGGUGUAGGAGGAAUCGACCCCUUCUGUGCCGGAGCUAAACGCGUUAAACGUGCCGCCUGGGGAGUACGGUCGCAAGAUUAAAACUCAAAGAAAUUGACGGGGGCCCGCACAAGCGGUGGAGUAUGUGGCUUAAUUCGAUGCAACGCGAAGAACCUUACCUGGGCUUGACAUGCAUCUCUAAGUCGGUGAAAGCCGGCGAGUGGAGCAAUCCACAAUUUGCACAGGUGCUGCAUGGCUGUCGUCAGCUCGUGUCGUGAGAUGUUGGGUUUAAGUCCCGCAACGAGCGCAACCCCUCGUGGCCUGUUGCCACCCGGCUGUCCGGA